This 436-nucleotide ribosomal RNA is filed under the name uncultured bacterium. Its description in RNAcentral is "bacterial SSU rRNA". It matches the Rfam family "Bacterial small subunit ribosomal RNA", at positions 339 to 792 of the family's 1533-position model. The record is from RNAcentral.
CUACGGGAGGCAGCAGUGGGGAAUCUUGCGCAAUGGGCGAAAGCCUGACGCAGCCAUGCCGCGUGAAUGAUGAAGGUCUUAGGAUUGUAAAGUUCUUUCGCUCGUGACGAUGAUGACGGUAACGAGAGAAGAAGCCCCGGCUAACUUCGUGCCAGCAGCCGCGGUAAUACGAAGGGGGCUAGCGUUGUUCGGAAUUACUGGGCGUAAAGCGCGCGUAGGCGGUUUUGCAAGCCAGAGGUGAAAUGCCUGAGCUUAACUUAGGAAUUGCCUUUGGGACUGCGAGGCUUUGAGGACGAGAGAGGUGAGUGGAAUUCCCAGUGUAGAGGUGAAAUUCGUAGAUAUUGGGAAGAACACCGGUGGCGAAGGCGGCUCACUGGCUCGUUACUGACGCUGUAGCGCGAAAGCGUGGGGAUCAAACAGGAUAGAUACCCCUGUA